GAUGAACGCUAGCGGCAGGCCUAACACAUGCAAGUCGAGGGGCAGCACAUAAAGUGGUUUACUACUUUUGGUGGCGACCGGCGGACGGGUGCGUAACGCGUAUGCAACCUGCCUCCAACAGGGGGAUAACGGAGAGAAAUUUCCACUAAUACCCCAUAAUAUCAGAAUCGGCAUCGGUUUUGGUUGAAAACUCCGGUGGUUGGAGAUGGGCAUGCGUUGUAUUAGAUAGUUGGUGAGGUAACGGCUCACCAAGUCAACGAUACAUAGGGGGACUGAGAGGUUAGCCCCCCACACUGGUACUGAGACACGGACCAGACUCCUACGGGAGGCAGCAGUGAGGAAUAUUGGUCAAUGGGGGCAACCUUGAACCAGCUAUGCCGCGUGCAGGAAGACGGCUCUAUGAGCUGUAAACUGCUUUUACAAGGGGAUAAAUCGGUGUACGUGUACACCGUUGAAGGUACCUUGGGAAUAAGGAUCGGCUAACUCCGUGCCAGCCGCCGCCGUAA
This 506-nucleotide ribosomal RNA is filed under the name uncultured bacterium. RNAcentral's name for it is "partial 16S ribosomal RNA". It matches the Rfam family "Bacterial small subunit ribosomal RNA", at positions 28 to 523 of the family's 1533-position model. The record is from RNAcentral.